CCUCUGAGAUGGGAAUAACACUCCUAACGGAGUGCUAAUACCGAAUGACAUCGUUGAUUCGCAUGUGUCGACGAUCAAAGGUGGCCUCUGUUUACAAGCUACUGCUCAGAGAUGGUCCCGCGUCCCAUUAGCUUGUUGGUAGGGUAACGGCCUACCAAGGCGACGAUGGGUAGCUGGUCUGAGAGGACGGCCAGCCACACUGGGACUGAGAUACGGCCCAG
This 221-nucleotide ribosomal RNA is filed under the name uncultured bacterium. RNAcentral describes it as "partial 16S ribosomal RNA". It matches the Rfam family "Bacterial small subunit ribosomal RNA", at positions 129 to 334 of the family's 1533-position model. The record is from RNAcentral.